Pelobates cultripes (western spadefoot toad) is the source of this 215-nucleotide non-coding RNA. The record is from the annotation of a GenBank genome assembly. Lineage: Eukaryota; Metazoa; Chordata; Amphibia; Anura; Pelobatidae.
AAGUAGUUUGGCCCGGUUGCCCGGUUCCCCAGUAAUGGGGCAAACUUUGUAUCAGUGAUUUGCCUCCUUACCUCGAUCCCCAGUGGGCUCUGACGCUCCCUGGUGGUCCAACGACACACUUCUCACUUCUGCAGAGCUGCUAAAGAAGGGGUCAAGACUUAAUGUAUUCUCCAAUUGGUAAAUUAUAAAUCGCUAUGUUUUUAAUUUAGUUUUUA